UUAAGCGACUAAGCGUACACGGUGGAUGCCCUGGCAGUCAGAGGCGAUGAAGGACGUGCUAAUCUGCGAUAAGCGUCGGUAAGGUGAUAUGAACCGUUAUAACCGGCGAUUUCCGAAUGGGGAAACCCAGUGUGAUUCGUCACACUAUCAUUAACUGAAUCCAUAGGUUAAUGAGGCGAACCGGGGGAACUGAAACAUCUAAGUACCCCGAGGAAAAGAAAUCAACCGAGAUUCCCCCAGUAGCGGCGAGCGAACGGGGAGGAGCCCAGAGCCUGAAUCAGUGUGUGUGUUAGUGGAAGCGUCUGGAAAGGCGUGCGAUACAGGGUGACAGCCCCGUACACAAAAAUGCACAUAUUGUGAGCUCGAUGAGUAGGGCGGGACACGUGGUAUCCUGUCUGAAUAUGGGGGGACCAUCCUCCAAGGCUAAAUACUCCUGACUGACCGAUAGUGAACCAGUACCGUGAGGGAAAGGCGAAAAGAACCCCGGCGAGGGGAGUGAAAAAGAACCUGAAACCGUGUACGUACAAGCAGUGGGAGCCUCUUUUAUGGGGUGACUGCGUACCUUUUGUAUAAUGGGUCAGCGACUUAUAUUCUGUAGCAAGGUUAACCGAAUAGGGGAGCCGAAGGGAAACCGAGUCUUAACUGGGCGUUAAGUUGCAGGGUAUAGACCCGAAACCCGGUGAUCUAGCCAUGGGCAGGUUGAAGGUUGGGUAACACUAACUGGAGGACCGAACCGACUAAUGUUGAAAAAUUAGCGGAUGACUUGUGGCUGGGGGUGAAAGGCCAAUCAAACCGGGAGAUAGCUGGUUCUCCCCGAAAGCUAUUUAGGUAGCGCCUCGUGAAUUCAUCUCCGGGGGUAGAGCACUGUUUCGGCAAGGGGGUCAUCCCGACUUACCAACCCGAUGCAAACUGCGAAUACCGGAGAAUGUUAUCACGGGAGACACACGGCGGGUGCUAACGUCCGUCGUGAAGAGGGAAACAACCCAGACCGCCAGCUAAGGUCCCAAAGUCAUGGUUAAGUGGGAAACGAUGUGGGAAGGCCCAGACAGCCAGGAUGUUGGCUUAGAAGCAGCCAUCAUUUAAAGAAAGCGUAAUAGCUCACUGGUCGAGUCGGCCUGCGCGGAAGAUGUAACGGGGCUAAACCAUGCACCGAAGCUGCGGCAGCGACACUAUGUGUUGUUGGGUAGGGGAGCGUUCUGUAAGCCUGUGAAGGUGGCCUGUGAGGGUUGCUGGAGGUAUCAGAAGUGCGAAUGCUGACAUAAGUAACGAUAAAGCGGGUGAAAAGCCCGCUCGCCGGAAGACCAAGGGUUCCUGUCCAACGUUAAUCGGGGCAGGGUGAGUCGACCCCUAAGGCGAGGCCGAAAGGCGUAGUCGAUGGGAAACAGGUUAAUAUUCCUGUACUUGGUGUUACUGCGAAGGGGGGACGGAGAAGGCUAUGUUGGCCGGGCGACGGUUGUCCCGGUUUAAGCGUGUAGGCUGGUUUUCCAGGCAAAUCCGGAAAACCAAGGCUGAGGCGUGAUGACGAGGCACUACGGUGCUGAAGCGACAAAUGCCCUGCUUCCAGGAAAAGCCUCUAAGCAUCAGGUAACAUCAAAUCGUACCCCAAACCGACACAGGUGGUCAGGUAGAGAAUACCAAGGCGCUUGAGAGAACUCGGGUGAAGGAACUAGGCAAAAUGGUGCCGUAACUUCGGGAGAAGGCACGCUGAUAUGUAGGUGAAGCGACUUGCUCGUGGAGCUGAAAUCAGUCGAAGAUACCAGCUGGCUGCAACUGUUUAUUAAAAACACAGCACUGUGCAAACACGAAAGUGGACGUAUACGGUGUGACGCCUGCCCGGUGCCGGAAGGUUAAUUGAUGGGGUUAGCGGUAACGCGAAGCUCUUGAUCGAAGCCCCGGUAAACGGCGGCCGUAACUAUAACGGUCCUAAGGUAGCGAAAUUCCUUGUCGGGUAAGUUCCGACCUGCACGAAUGGCGUAAUGAUGGCCAGGCUGUCUCCACCCGAGACUCAGUGAAAUUGAACUCGCUGUGAAGAUGCAGUGUACCCGCGGCAAGACGGAAAGACCCCGUGAACCUUUACUAUAGCUUGACACUGAACAUUGAGCCUUGAUGUGUAGGAUAGGUGGGAGGCUUUGAAGUGUGGACGCCAGUCUGCAUGGAGCCGACCUUGAAAUACCACCCUUUAAUGUUUGAUGUUCUAACGUUGGCCCGUAAUCCGGGUUGCGGACAGUGUCUGGUGGGUAGUUUGACUGGGGCGGUCUCCUCCUAAAGAGUAACGGAGGAGCACGAAGGUUGGCUAAUCCUGGUCGGACAUCAGGAGGUUAGUGCAAUGGCAUAAGCCAGCUUGACUGCGAGCGUGACGGCGCGAGCAGGUGCGAAAGCAGGUCAUAGUGAUCCGGUGGUUCUGAAUGGAAGGGCCAUCGCUCAACGGAUAAAAGGUACUCCGGGGAUAACAGGCUGAUACCGCCCAAGAGUUCAUAUCGACGGCGGUGUUUGGCACCUCGAUGUCGGCUCAUCACAUCCUGGGGCUGAAGUAGGUCCCAAGGGUAUGGCUGUUCGCCAUUUAAAGUGGUACGCGAGCUGGGUUUAGAACGUCGUGAGACAGUUCGGUCCCUAUCUGCCGUGGGCGCUGGAGAACUGAGGGGGGCUGCUCCUAGUACGAGAGGACCGGAGUGGACGCAUCACUGGUGUUCGGGUUGUCAUGCCAAUGGCACUGCCCGGUAGCUAAAUGCGGAAGAGAUAAGUGCUGAAAGCAUCUAAGCACGAAACUUGCCCCGAGAUGAGUUCUCCCUGACUCCUUGAGGGUCCUGAAGGAACGUUGAAGACGACGACGUUGAUAGGCCGGGUGUGUAAGCGCAGCGAUGCGUUGAGCUAACCGGUACUAAUGAACCGUGAGGCUUAACCUU
This 2903-nucleotide ribosomal RNA is filed under the name Escherichia coli KTE187. Its description in RNAcentral is "bacterial LSU rRNA". It matches the Rfam family "Bacterial large subunit ribosomal RNA". Lineage: Bacteria; Pseudomonadati; Pseudomonadota; Gammaproteobacteria; Enterobacterales; Enterobacteriaceae. The record is from RNAcentral.